RNAcentral lists this ribosomal RNA (1427 nucleotides) under Lactiplantibacillus pentosus. RNAcentral describes it as "bacterial SSU rRNA". It matches the Rfam family "Bacterial small subunit ribosomal RNA". Lineage: Bacteria; Bacillati; Bacillota; Bacilli; Lactobacillales; Lactobacillaceae. The record is from RNAcentral.
GACGAACGCUGGCGGCGUGCCUAAUACAUGCAAGUCGAACGAACUCUGGUAUUGAUUGGUGCUUGCAUCAUGAUUUACAUUUGAGUGAGUGGCGAACUGGUGAGUAACACGUGGGAAACCUGCCCAGAAGCGGGGGAUAACACCUGGAAACAGAUGCUAAUACCGCAUAACAACUUGGACCGCAUGGUCCGAGUUUGAAAGAUGGCUUCGGCUAUCACUUUUGGAUGGUCCCGCGGCGUAUUAGCUAGAUGGUGGGGUAACGGCUCACCAUGGCAAUGAUACGUAGCCGACCUGAGAGGGUAAUCGGCCACAUUGGGACUGAGACACGGCCCAAACUCCUACGGGAGGCAGCAGUAGGGAAUCUUCCACAAUGGACGAAAGUCUGAUGGAGCAACGCCGCGUGAGUGAAGAAGGGUUUCGGCUCGUAAAACUCUGUUGUUAAAGAAGAACAUAUCUGAGAGUAACUGUUCAGGUAUUGACGGUAUUUAACCAGAAAGCCACGGCUAACUACGUGCCAGCAGCCGCGGUAAUACGUAGGUGGCAAGCGUUGUCCGGAUUUAUUGGGCGUAAAGCGAGCGCAGGCGGUUUUUUAAGUCUGAUGUGAAAGCCUUCGGCUCAACCGAAGAAGUGCAUCGGAAACUGGGAAACUUGAGUGCAGAAGAGGACAGUGGAACUCCAUGUGUAGCGGUGAAAUGCGUAGAUAUAUGGAAGAACACCAGUGGCGAAGGCGGCUGUCUGGUCUGUAACUGACGCUGAGGCUCGAAAGUAUGGGUAGCAAACAGGAUUAGAUACCCUGGUAGUCCAUACCGUAAACGAUGAAUGCUAAGUGUUGGAGGGUUUCCGCCCUUCAGUGCUGCAGCUAACGCAUUAAGCAUUCCGCCUGGGGAGUACGGCCGCAAGGCUGAAACUCAAAGGAAUUGACGGGGGCCCGCACAAGCGGUGGAGCAUGUGGUUUAAUUCGAAGCUACGCGAAGAACCUUACCAGGUCUUGACAUACUAUGCAAAUCUAAGAGAUUAGACGUUCCCUUCGGGGGCAUGGAUACAGGUGGUGCAUGGUUGUCGUCAGCUCGUGUCGUGAGAUGUUGGGUUAAGUCCCGCAACGAGCGCAACCCUUAUUAUCAGUUGCCAGCAUUAAGUUGGGCACUCUGGUGAGACUGCCGGUGACAAACCGGAGGAAGGUGGGGAUGACGUCAAAUCAUCAUGCCCCUUAUGACCUGGGCUACACACGUGCUACAAUGGAUGGUACAACGAGUUGCGAACUCGCGAGAGUAAGCUAAUCUCUUAAAGCCAUUCUCAGUUCGGAUUGUAGGCUGCAACUCGCCUACAUGAAGUCGGAAUCGCUAGUAAUCGCGGAUCAGCAUGCCGCGGUGAAUACGUUCCCGGGCCUUGUACACACCGCCCGUCACACCAUGAGAGUUUGUAACACC